This 360-nucleotide unclassified non-coding RNA is filed under the name Hevea brasiliensis (rubber tree). The record is from RNAcentral. Lineage: Eukaryota; Viridiplantae; Streptophyta; Magnoliopsida; Malpighiales; Euphorbiaceae.
UACUAAAGCUCUCGAAGCAACUAAUGGAACAACUCUUGAGAAGAAUGGGCAGAUUUUAAGAGUUGCAUAUGCAAAAAGCAUUCUUGGUCCAGGAUCUGGGGCAUCGGGACCUUCACAAUCAAGCAGCCUUGCGGCUGCCGCAAUUGAGGCGGCAGCAUUUGCUCAACAGUACGAUGUUGUUGGAUGGGCACCAAAGGAGUAUAACCCAGAUGAUAAAUCUACAAGUGGGCAGGAACAAGAUGGUGGGGAGGCUGCUGUUCAAAAGGAUGGUUCCACUACACAGUCUGGCUUUGUAUGGGAUGAAGCAUCUGGUUAUUACUAUGAUGCUGCUUCUGGGUUCUACUAUGAUGGAAAUACAGG